GACGAACGCUGGCGGCGGGCUUAACACAUGCAAGUCGAACGGAAAGGCCCUGCUUUUGUGGGGUUCUCGAGUGGCGAACGGGUGCGUAACACGUGAGUAACCUGCCCUUGACUUUGGUAUAACUUCAGGAAACUGGGGCUAAUACCGGAUAGGAUCUCCUGCUGCAGGGUGGGGGUUGGAAAGUUUCGGCGGUUGGGGAUGGACUCGCGGCUUAUCAGCUUGCUGGUUGGGGAGGGGCUUACCAAGCCAUUGACGGGUAGCCGGCCUGAGAGGGUGGACGGCCUCAUUGGGCCUACGGUACGCACCAGACUCCUACGUGGGGCAGCAGUGGGGAAUCUUGCACAAUGGGAGGAAGCCUGAGACGGCAACGCCGCGUGCGGGAUGACGGCUUUCGGGUUGUAAACCGCUUUCGCCUGUGACGAAGCGUGAGUGACGGUAAUGGGUAAAGAAGCACCGGCUAACUACGUG
RNAcentral lists this ribosomal RNA (468 nucleotides) under uncultured bacterium. Its description in RNAcentral is "partial 16S ribosomal RNA". It matches the Rfam family "Bacterial small subunit ribosomal RNA", at positions 28 to 507 of the family's 1533-position model. The record is from RNAcentral.